RNAcentral lists this ribosomal RNA (228 nucleotides) under uncultured bacterium. Its description in RNAcentral is "partial 16S ribosomal RNA". It matches the Rfam family "Bacterial small subunit ribosomal RNA", at positions 524 to 751 of the family's 1533-position model. The record is from RNAcentral.
UACGUAGGGUGCGAGCGUUAAUCGGAAUUACUGGGCGUAAAGCGUGCGCAGGCGGUUUUGUAAGCCAGAUGUGAAAUCCCCGGGCUUAACCUGGGAAUGGCAUUUGGGACUGCAAGGCUCGAGUGCGGCAGAGGAGACUGGAAUUCCUGGUGUAGCAGUGAAAUGCGUAGAUAUCAGGAGGAACACCGAUGGCGAAGGCAGGUCUCUGGGCUGACACUGACGCUCAUG